GGGUCAAUGAUGAGAACUCAUAUGGUCUGGAAGACAGAUGAUGACCUAAAGAUUAUGCUCAAUAGGAUUACCUGAGGCCC
The sequence is a small nucleolar RNA, 80 nucleotides long. Its record names the gene SNORD115. It matches the Rfam family "Small nucleolar RNA SNORD115". Rfam says of the family: HBII-52 is a member of the C/D class of snoRNAs, which contain the C (UGAUGA) and D (CUGA) box motifs. HBII-52 is encoded in a tandemly repeated array with another C/D snoRNA, HBII-85, in the Prader-Willi syndrome (PWS) region of chromosome 15. The record is from Ensembl.